This 253-nucleotide ribosomal RNA is filed under the name uncultured bacterium. Its description in RNAcentral is "partial 16S ribosomal RNA". It matches the Rfam family "Bacterial small subunit ribosomal RNA", at positions 524 to 776 of the family's 1533-position model. The record is from RNAcentral.
UACAGAGGUCCCAAGCGUUGUUCGGAUUCACUGGGCGUAAAGGGUGCGUAGGCGGUCGGGUAAGUCUGAUGUGAAAUCUCACAGCUUAACUGUGAAACUGCAUUGGAUACUAUCCGGCUCGAGGAAUGGAGGGGAGACUGGAAUACUUGGUGUAGCAGUGAAAUGCGUAGAUAUUAAGUGGAACACCAGUGGCGAAGGCGAGUCUCUGGACAUUUCCUGACGCUGAGGCACGAAAGCCAGGGGAGCAAACGGG